UACAGAGGUCUCAAGCGUUGUUCGGAUUCAUUGGGCGUAAAGCGCGUGUAGGCGGCCCGGUAAGUCCGCUGUGAAAGUCCAGGGCUCAACCCUGGGAUGCCGGUGGAUACUGUCGGGCUCGAGUCCGGAAGAGGCGAGUGGAAUUCCUGGUGUAGCGGUGAAAUGCGUAGAUAUCAGGAGGAACACCGGUGGUGUAGACGGCUUUCUGGACCGUAACUGACGCUGAGACACGAAAGCGUGGGUAGCAAACAGG
This 253-nucleotide ribosomal RNA is filed under the name uncultured bacterium. Its description in RNAcentral is "partial 16S ribosomal RNA". It matches the Rfam family "Bacterial small subunit ribosomal RNA", at positions 524 to 776 of the family's 1533-position model. The record is from RNAcentral.